GGUGUCGUGGUGUAGUUGGUUAUCACGUCAGUCUAACAUACUGAAAGUAUGCCGGGCUCGAUUUCAGGUGCUCUUC
This 76-nucleotide transfer RNA is filed under the name Salix viminalis (osier). The stretch from base 1 to 66 matches the Rfam family "tRNA". Rfam says of the family: Transfer RNA (tRNA) molecules are approximately 80 nucleotides in length. Their secondary structure includes four short double-helical elements and three loops (D, anti-codon, and T loops). Further hydrogen bonds mediate the characteristic L-shaped molecular structure. tRNAs have two regions of fundamental functional importance: the anti-codon, which is responsible for specific mRNA codon recognition, and the 3' end, to which the tRNAs corresponding amino acid is attached (by aminoacyl-tRNA synthetases). tRNAs cope with the degeneracy of the genetic code in two manners: having more than one tRNA (with a specific anti-codon) for a particular amino acid; and 'wobble' base-pairing, i.e. permitting non-standard base-pairing at the 3rd anti-codon position. Lineage: Eukaryota; Viridiplantae; Streptophyta; Magnoliopsida; Malpighiales; Salicaceae. The record is from RNAcentral.